RNAcentral lists this ribosomal RNA (253 nucleotides) under uncultured bacterium. RNAcentral describes it as "partial 16S ribosomal RNA". It matches the Rfam family "Bacterial small subunit ribosomal RNA", at positions 524 to 776 of the family's 1533-position model. The record is from RNAcentral.
UACGUAGGGGGCAAGCGUUGUCCGGAUUUAUUGGGCGUAAAGAGCUCGUAGGCGGUUCCGUAAGUCGGGUGUGAAAAAUCUGGGCUCAACCCAGUGGAGCACCCGAUACUGCGGUGACUCGAGUCCGGUAGGGGAGUGUGGAAUUCCUGGUGUAGCGGUGAAAUGCGCAGAUAUCAGGAGGAACACCGAUGGCGAAGGCAGGUCUCUGGGCAUUAACUGACGCUGAGGAGCGAAAGCAUGGGGAGCGAACAGG